This is a long non-coding RNA of Etheostoma cragini (Arkansas darter), 137 nucleotides long. RefSeq lists it as uncharacterized. The record is from RefSeq and is a predicted model, not a curated record. NCBI's taxonomy places the organism in Eukaryota, Metazoa, Chordata, Actinopteri, Perciformes, Percidae. The transcript is spliced from 3 exons.
UGAAAUACAAUAAAAAUGUUUUUCUUCUGAAUCAUUGCUGCUUUCUGAUUAAUUCUGUAUAACUUCAGUUAAAGAUCACAUUUCACAGGUAGAAUCAUAAUGUGCUUCACAUAGAAACAUACAAGAUAAGAUCUAUU